RNAcentral lists this ribosomal RNA (440 nucleotides) under uncultured bacterium. RNAcentral's name for it is "partial 16S ribosomal RNA". It matches the Rfam family "Bacterial small subunit ribosomal RNA", at positions 338 to 795 of the family's 1533-position model. The record is from RNAcentral.
CCUACGGGUGGCAGCAGUGAGGAAUAUUGCACAAUGGGGGCAACCCUGAUGCAGCCAUGCCGCGUGAAUGAAGAAGGUCUUCGGAUUGUAAAGUCCUUUCGUUCGUGACGAUGAUGACGGUAUCUCACAAAUAAGCACCGGCGAACUCCGUGCCAGCAGCCGCGGUAAUACGAAGGGUGCGAGCGUUACUCGGAAUUACUGGGCGUAAAGAGCGUGUAGGCGGAUUUGUAAGAUAGAUGUGAAAUGCUAGGGCUCAACCACAGAACUGCAAUUAUGACUGUGAAUCUAGAGUAUCGGAGAGGAGGGCGGAAUGCCCGGUGUAGGGGUGAAAUUCGUAGAGAUUGGGUGGAACACCGGUGGCGAAGGCGGCUAUCUGGACAAUUACUGACGCUGAGGCGCGAAAGCGUGGGGAGCAAACAGGAUUAGAUACCCCAGUAGUC